CGGACGGGUGAGUAAUGUCUGGGAAACUGCCUGAUGGAGGGGGAUAACUACUGGAAACGGUAGCUAAUACCGCAUAACGUCGCAAGACCAAAGAGGGGGACCUUCGGGCCUCUUGCCAUCGGAUGUGCCCAGAUGGGAUUAGCUAGUAGGUGGGGUAACGGCUUACCUAGGCGACGAUCCCUAGCUGGUCUGAGAGGAUGACCAGCCACACUGGAACUGAGACACGGUCCAG
Molecule: ribosomal RNA, 232 nt
Filed under: uncultured bacterium
Lineage: Bacteria
Description: partial 16S ribosomal RNA
Rfam family: Bacterial small subunit ribosomal RNA
Source: RNAcentral